CCCAGCUUUGACAUUCUCUGUUCUAAGUUCCCUCCCAGCUCUGACAUUCUCUGUUCUAAGGUCUCUCCCAGCUCUGACAGUCUCUGUUCUAAGCUCUCUCCCACCUCUGACAUUCUCUGUUUUAAGGUCUCUCCCAGCUCUGACAUUCUCUGUUCUAAGGUCUCUCCCAGCUCUGACAUUCUCUGUUCUAAGCUCUCUCCCAGCUCUGACAUUCUCUGUUCUAAGGUCUCUCCCAGCUCUGACAUUCUCUGUUCUAAGCUCUCUCCCAGCUCUGACAUUCUCUGUUCUAAGGUCUCUCCCAGCUCUGACAUUCUCUGUUCUAAGCUCUCUCCCAGCUCUGACAUUCUCUGUUCUAAGCUCUCUCCCAGCUCUGACAUUCUCUGUUCUAAGGUCUCUCCAGCUCUGACAUUCUCUGUUCUAAGGUCUCUCCAGCUCUGACAUUCUCUGUUCUAAGGUCUCUCCAGCUCUGACAUUCUCUGUUCUAAGGUCUCUCCAGCUCUGACAUUCUCUGUUCUAAGGUCUCUCCCAGCCCUGACAUUCUCUGUUCUAAGGUCUCUCCCAGCUCUGACAUUCUCUGUUCUAAGCUCUCUCCCAGCUCUGACAUUGUCUGUUCUAAGGUCCCUCCCAGCUCUGACAUUCUCUGUUCUAAGCUCCCUCCCAGCUCUGACAUUCUGGGAUCUAAGAGCCCUCCUCUAAUGUUCUAUAUUCUACCAUUCUAUGUUCCGAGAAGAAGGUUCGUGCAGUAGAAAACCCCAUUUAGAAAGUGAAGGGGUAAAUCCAAAGGUGUACCCCUUGACCUACCCUUUCUGGAUCCAUGGAAUCCCUGGCCGCUCUGCCAACUCUAGUAGCCCAUGCUCCCAGAUGAGUUUGACCCAGCCGCAAGAAAACAUCAUAAUGUUUUUAAUAAAACCUCAG
This 915-nucleotide long non-coding RNA is filed under the name Monodelphis domestica (gray short-tailed opossum). Its description in RNAcentral is "lncRNA (ENSMODG00000034509.2)". Lineage: Eukaryota; Metazoa; Chordata; Mammalia; Didelphimorphia; Didelphidae. The record is from RNAcentral.